CGGGGCGUGGCGCAGUUUGGUAGCGCGCCUGCUUUGGGAGCAGGAUGUCGCAGGUUCGAAUCCUGUCGCCCCGACCA
Molecule: transfer RNA, 77 nt
Filed under: Enteroscipio rubneri
Lineage: Bacteria; Bacillati; Actinomycetota; Coriobacteriia; Eggerthellales; Eggerthellaceae
Description: tRNA-Pro
Rfam family: tRNA
About the family: Transfer RNA (tRNA) molecules are approximately 80 nucleotides in length. Their secondary structure includes four short double-helical elements and three loops (D, anti-codon, and T loops).
Source: RNAcentral